UACAGUGAUGUUCUUUCUGCAACCAUUUUAAAUGAAGAGCAAUGCAAAGAAUUGAAUAUGGGCUCCUAUCUUGGCGUUGCUGCAGCCUCUGCAAAUCCUCCCCAUUUUAUCCACUUGCGUUACAAACCUCCCAGUGGACCUGUAUCAGUCAAAUUGGGUUUGGUUGGGAAAGGACUAACCUUCGACAGUGGUGGCUAUAACAUUAA
This 206-nucleotide unclassified non-coding RNA is filed under the name Hevea brasiliensis (rubber tree). Lineage: Eukaryota; Viridiplantae; Streptophyta; Magnoliopsida; Malpighiales; Euphorbiaceae. The record is from RNAcentral.